GCCUUAAUGGUGGAAUUGGUAGACACGCUAGAUUUAGGUUCUAGUCUUGCAAAAGGUAGGAGUUCGAGUCUCCUUUAAGGUA
This 82-nucleotide transfer RNA is filed under the name Halobacteriovorax sp. RNAcentral describes it as "tRNA-Leu". It matches the Rfam family "tRNA". Rfam says of the family: Transfer RNA (tRNA) molecules are approximately 80 nucleotides in length. The record is from RNAcentral. Lineage: Bacteria; Pseudomonadati; Bdellovibrionota; Bacteriovoracia; Bacteriovoracales; Halobacteriovoraceae.